RNAcentral lists this microRNA (21 nucleotides) under Callorhinchus milii (elephant shark). RNAcentral's name for it is "eshark_NOVEL_187". The record is from RNAcentral. Lineage: Eukaryota; Metazoa; Chordata; Chondrichthyes; Chimaeriformes; Callorhinchidae.
UCUUGCAAGAACUCGACUCCA